UACGUAGGGUGCAAGCGUUGUCCGGAAUUAUUGGGCGUAAAGAGCUCGUAGGCGGUCUGUCGCGUCGGCUGUGAAAACCCGGGGCUCAACCCCGGGCCUGCAGUCGAUACGGGCAGACUAGAGUGCGGUAGGGGAGACUGGAAUUCCUGGUGUAGCGGUGAAAUGCGCAGAUAUCAGGAGGAACACCGGUGGCGAAGGCGGGUCUCUGGGCCGUAACUGACGCUGAGGAGCGAAAGCGUGGGAAGCGAACAGG
This 253-nucleotide ribosomal RNA is filed under the name uncultured bacterium. Its description in RNAcentral is "partial 16S ribosomal RNA". It matches the Rfam family "Bacterial small subunit ribosomal RNA", at positions 524 to 776 of the family's 1533-position model. The record is from RNAcentral.